CUUGCUCCUCUGAUUUAGCGGCGGACGGGUGAGUAACACGUGGGUAAUCUGCCUGUAAGACGGGGAUAACUCCGGGAAACCGGGGCUAAUACCGGAUAAUAAGAAGAAACGCAUGUUUCUUUUUUGAAAGUCGGUUUCGGCUGACACUUACAGAUGAGCCCGCGGCGCAUUAGCUAGUUGGUGAGGUAACGGCUCACCAAGGCGACGAUGCGUAGCCGACCUGAGAGGGUGAUCGGCCACACUGGGACUGAGACACGGCCCAGACUCCUACGGGAGGCAGCAGUAGGGAAUCUUCGGCAAUGGGCGAAAGCCUGACCGAGCAACGCCGCGUGAGCGAUGAAGGCCUUCGGGUCGUAAAGCUCUGUUGUUAGAGAAGAACAAGUACGAGAGUAACUGCUCGUACCUUGACGGUACCUAACCAGAAAGCCACGGCUAACUACGUGCCAGCAGCCGCGGUAAUACGUAGGUGGCAAGCGUUAUCCGGAAUUAUUGGGCGUAAAGCGCGCGCAGGCGGUCUCUUAAGUCUGAUGUGAAAGCCCACGGCUCAACCGUGGAGGGUCAUUGGAAACUGGGAGACUUGAGUGCAGGAGAGAAAAGUGGAAUUCCACGUGUAGCGGUGAAAUGCGUAGAGAUGUGGAGGAACACCAGUGGCGAAGGCGGCUUUUUGGCCUGUAACUGACGCUGAGGCGCG
RNAcentral lists this ribosomal RNA (691 nucleotides) under Fictibacillus barbaricus. RNAcentral describes it as "bacterial SSU rRNA". It matches the Rfam family "Bacterial small subunit ribosomal RNA", at positions 79 to 755 of the family's 1533-position model. Lineage: Bacteria; Bacillati; Bacillota; Bacilli; Caryophanales; Fictibacillaceae. The record is from RNAcentral.